RNAcentral lists this small RNA (66 nucleotides) under Bacillus manliponensis. RNAcentral's name for it is "Bacillus sp. BL4-6 RAGATH-18 RNA". It matches the Rfam family "RAGATH-18 RNA". From Rfam's summary of the family: Actinobacteria, Firmicutes, Fusobacteria, Thermotogae (1 example). Nearby to self-cleaving ribozyme genes The record is from Rfam by way of RNAcentral. Lineage: Bacteria; Bacillati; Bacillota; Bacilli; Caryophanales; Bacillaceae.
CCUGCGGAGAACUAUACAAACGAUAAUAGCGAGCGUUUGGCGAGGUCGGGUUCGUAGAAGCAGGAA